GAUGAACGCUGGCGGCGUGCCUAAUACAUGCAAGUCGAGCGAACGGACGAGAAGCUUGCUUCUCUGAUGUUAGCGGCGGACGGGUGAGUAACACGUGGAUAACCUACCUAUAAGACUGGGAUAACUUCGGGAAACCGGAGCUAAUACCGGAUGAUAUUUUGAACCGCAUGGUUCAAUAGUGAAAGACGGUCUUGCUGUCACUUAUAGAUGGAUCCGCGCCGCAUUAGCUAGUUGGUAAGGUAACGGCUUACCAAGGCAACGAUGCAUAGCCGACCUGAGAGGGUGAUCGGCCACACUGGAACUGAGACACGGUCCAGACUCCUACGGGAGGCAGCAGUAGGGAAUCUUCCGCAAUGGGCGAAAGCCUGACGGAGCAACGCCGCGUGAGUGAUGAAGGUCUUCGGAUCGUAAAACUCUGUUAUUAGGGAAGAACAAAUGUGUAAGUAACUAUGCACGUCUUGACGGUACCUAAUCAGAAAGCCACGGCUAACUACGUG
This 497-nucleotide ribosomal RNA is filed under the name uncultured bacterium. RNAcentral describes it as "partial 16S ribosomal RNA". It matches the Rfam family "Bacterial small subunit ribosomal RNA", at positions 28 to 507 of the family's 1533-position model. The record is from RNAcentral.